ACGCUGGCGGCACGCUUAAUACAUGCAAGUCGAACGAGAAACUUGGUUCGCCAAGUGGACAGUGGCAGACGGUUGAGUAACGCGUGGGAAUCUACCUAGAGGUUCGGAAUAACUAUUGGAAACGAUAGCUAAUACCGGAUAAGCCCUUCGGGGGAAAGAUUUAUUGCCUUUAGAUGAGCCCGCGUCGGAUUAGCUAGUUGGUAAGGUAACGGCUUACCAAAGCUACGAUCCGUAGCUGAUCUGAGAGGAUGAUCAGCCAGAUUGGGACUGAGACA
RNAcentral lists this ribosomal RNA (275 nucleotides) under uncultured Alphaproteobacteria bacterium. RNAcentral describes it as "partial 16S ribosomal RNA". It matches the Rfam family "Bacterial small subunit ribosomal RNA", at positions 33 to 326 of the family's 1533-position model. The record is from RNAcentral. Lineage: Bacteria; Pseudomonadati; Pseudomonadota; Alphaproteobacteria.